UUUAUAUCAUUAUUUGAUAUGUUUGGUUUAUAUAUUAAUUUAAUCUAUUAUUCAUGAAUAUUGAGUUGUGAAUGUUAGAAGUAGGAACUAAAGUUCAGUUUGCGUUGCACUGGGACACUUUAAUGUGCAACAGGUAAUUAACAGGAGGCGACACAUUUUUCCCUGAUGUGAUGAAAAGAAGUUUUCCCUGUGUCGAGAAGCAAAUGUUUUUAUUUUUUUUAUAUUUUGAACUGGAUAUUUUAAGUACUCAUUUCCCUCUCGGUUAUAUGCGGCCAGCGAGUUCGACGGUGGAUUGUGAUGACGACGAAGCAAUAAAGCCAUCAGUAAUCAGAA
This is a long non-coding RNA of Centropristis striata (black sea bass), 333 nucleotides long. RefSeq lists it as uncharacterized. The record is from RefSeq and is a predicted model, not a curated record. NCBI's taxonomy places the organism in Eukaryota, Metazoa, Chordata, Actinopteri, Perciformes, Serranidae. The transcript has 2 exons.